UACGUAGGUGGCAAGCGUUGUCCGGAAUUAUUGGGCGUAAAGGGCGCGUAGGCGGUCCUUUAAGUCAGAUGUGAAAUCCCGAGGCUCAACUUCGGGCGUGCAUUUGAAACUGGAGGACUAGAGUGCAGGAGAGGUAAGUGGAAUUCCUAGUGUAGCGGUGAAAUGCGUAGAUAUUAGGAGGAACACCAGUGGCGAAGGCGACUUACUGGACUGUAACUGACGCUGAGGCGCGAAAGCGUGGGGAGCAAACAGG
This 253-nucleotide ribosomal RNA is filed under the name uncultured bacterium. RNAcentral describes it as "partial 16S ribosomal RNA". It matches the Rfam family "Bacterial small subunit ribosomal RNA", at positions 524 to 776 of the family's 1533-position model. The record is from RNAcentral.